UAUAUCAAAUUAUAUAAUUUGUGUAAACCUGAAUCUAGUGACCAGCAAACUUGAAUUUUAAACCCAAACUUCCUUGAAACCUAUUUUCUUUCUUUUUUUUUUUUUUUAAGUUUUAUUUAUUUUGAGAGAGCUUGCAUGCAAGCAGGGUGAGGGGCAGAGAGAGAGGGAAAGAGAGAGAGAGAAUCCCAAGCAGGCUCCACGAUAUCAGCAUGGAGCCCCAUGUGGGGCUCAAUAUCAUGAACCCUGAGAUCAUGACUUGAGCUGAAAUUGAGUUGGAUGCUUAACCAACUAGUGAAGCCACCCAGGUGCCUGGAAAACUAUUUUAUUUCUAACUACAUCAUAUUAGGUUUUCAUCUUAAAUACACAUUGCAACAAGAAUGAAAAUUAAAGAGCAGCAGUUCCUCUUCCAAACUCUGUAGUUCAUGGCAGAUUGUGCUGAGGAAAACUUUCAUAAAUGCUAAUCUUUACCAUCAGAAGUGGACACUACCUGUCAGGAAAAUGCAAGAGCUCUGAGUAAGCCAGGGUAUUUUUUGUUUUUGUUUUUGUUUUUUAAUUUUAUUGUUAUGGACUAAAAAACUUUGCAGUUAGAACAUUUAGCCACCAACCAUCAUGACUCUCUGGAUUUGAUGAAGUAAUAUUGCUUGCUUCUCUCUCCAUGCCCAGAGAAGGGACUUAAUUUUUCCCUUAUUUUUUCCCAUUCAGGAAGCAGUGACUUACCUACCCCCUGAUUGGUGAAUUUGCAGUUCGAAAGUCUUCUUUUCUCUUCCUCCUGCUGAGUUCUACCUGACUGCAGUCCCCUGCUUUCUCUCCUGUCCACUUGCCCUGAAAUACUUUCUUUUUUUUUUUUUUUUUUUUUUUUUUUUUUUUUUUUUUUUUUUUUUUUUUUUUUUUUUUUUUUUUUUUUUUUUUUUUUUUUUUUUUUUGCUUUCUCUCCUGUCCACUUGCCCUGAAAUACUUGCCUCAAAAUCUGCAUCUGGGAAACACACAUAAAGGCUACAUCUUCACUGCUACACUUGUCCACACCACCAUUAUCUCUGGUCUGGAUUUUUAAGGUAAUUUGUGGAAUUUUUGUCUUGUUUUCGUCUUUGCAGUUCCUGCAAAAUAUUCUCACUUCACCAGCUAGAAUGUUUCCUACAAACUUUUUCAAAUUAUGUCACUUCUCUGACCAAAAUCUUUGUUAACACCCCCCCCCCAUUUAUUAGGGUGCCUGGUGUCUCAGUCGGUUAAGUGACCAACUUCUGCUCAGGUCAUGAUCUCACAGUUCAUGGGUUCAAGCCCCGCUUCGGGCUCUGUGCUGAUAGCUCAGAGCCUGGAGCCUGCUUCCAACUAUGUGUCACCCUCACUCUCUG
RNAcentral lists this long non-coding RNA (1349 nucleotides) under Felis catus (domestic cat). Its description in RNAcentral is "lncRNA (ENSFCAG00000044259.2)". Lineage: Eukaryota; Metazoa; Chordata; Mammalia; Carnivora; Felidae. The record is from RNAcentral.